Caenorhabditis elegans is the source of this 21-nucleotide non-coding RNA. The record is from Ensembl. Lineage: Eukaryota; Metazoa; Nematoda; Chromadorea; Rhabditida; Rhabditidae.
GGUCCCGCAUAGUUGACAAGA